CCGGGUGUAGCGCAGUUGGUAGCGCGCCUGCUUUGGGAGCAGGAUGCCGCAGGUUCAAGUCCUGUCACUCGGACCA
This 76-nucleotide transfer RNA is filed under the name Agathobaculum desmolans. Its description in RNAcentral is "tRNA-Pro". It matches the Rfam family "tRNA". Rfam says of the family: Transfer RNA (tRNA) molecules are approximately 80 nucleotides in length. Their secondary structure includes four short double-helical elements and three loops (D, anti-codon, and T loops). RNAcentral also lists the same sequence under 3 other names. The record is from RNAcentral. Lineage: Bacteria; Bacillati; Bacillota; Clostridia; Eubacteriales; Butyricicoccaceae.